Molecule: unclassified non-coding RNA, 327 nt
Filed under: Hevea brasiliensis (rubber tree)
Lineage: Eukaryota; Viridiplantae; Streptophyta; Magnoliopsida; Malpighiales; Euphorbiaceae
Source: RNAcentral
GUUUCAUCUUUCUGCUCUUACUCAUCACUCUGUCAAUCAACGUAGAUGCACGACAUCUUCUAGAGGCAACAUUGCCUGAGCUUCCUAAACCUGAAUUACCUGAGCUGCCAUCACUUCCUAAGCUUGAGCUUCCACCAUUACCUGAAGUUCCAACCUUGCCUAAACCUGAAAUUCCCACUCUUCCAAAACCCGAAUUGCCUGAGUUGCCCAAGCCUGAAGUGCCCAAAUUGCCUGAAUUACCAAAACCUGAACUGCCAACUUUUCCCCGCUUGCCUGAGUUGCCAAAGCCCACAUUCCCUGCUAUUCCCACAAUUCCCAAGUACACCA